Carassius carassius (crucian carp) is the source of this 431-nucleotide long non-coding RNA. RefSeq lists it as uncharacterized. NCBI's taxonomy places the organism in Eukaryota, Metazoa, Chordata, Actinopteri, Cypriniformes, Cyprinidae. The transcript has 3 exons. The record is from RefSeq and is a predicted model, not a curated record.
UGAGGGGGCCAUGACUGAAGGAGAUGAUACAGUCUGUGCUGGUAAUACAGAGAAAACCCCGCUAAACUAGGAAAUCCUGUGAAAGUAGCAACAGAAUUGGGUAUUAGAUAUUUAAUGCGCUUCUACAAGGAUCUUCAGACCUUCACAACCAAGCCCUGUUGCAACCACCCUAUAUUGGACAUACACAACCAUAAUAAAUUUGCACUUGCAGCAUGACUAUUUCCUUUUAUACAUCCUCUGAAUGCAACAAUCUGGGUUUCUCAGAACAAGGGAUAACACAGAUGCUCCCUCUGACCCAAGAGGAUUCUGGCCCAGGCUUUAUGUAAAGAACAUACAAUAAAUAUCACAAACAAAAUAAAUAAUAUUUAACGUUAAGUGUUUCACAUCUGCCUCCGAACAAUUAUACCUACAGUUAUAGUAUUUACCUGAGU